UGUUUGUUGAAGGCUUUUUAUAACAAAUAAUUUCUGCCCGGUGAUAUGUUAAACGGCUGCGAUAUUUUGAUCGUACAAAGGUAGCAUAAUAAUUUGCCUUUUAAAUGGAGGCUUGUAUGAAGGAAAAAAUGAAAUCUUAUCUGUUUCUUUUCUUUGUUUAAAAUUUGUUGUUUUUGUGAAGAAACUAAAAAUGUUAAAAAAAGACAAGAAGACCCCAUCAAGCUUUUAUUUUUUUUUUGUUUUAAAAGUGUUUGUGUAAGUAUGUAUUUAAAAAAAUAAAAAAUUUAGUUGGGGUGAUUAAAAAGGAUGUAUUUAUCCUCUUUUAAUAAAUAAAAUUUUAAAUUUAUAAUUGAACCAGAAGUUUUUGGUUAAAAGAAAAAGUUACUGUGGGGAUAACAGCGUAAUUUUUUUGGUGAGUUCAUAUUAAUAAAAAAGUUUGCGACCUCGAUGUUGACUUGUUGUUUCCUUUUUUGGUGCAGUAGUUGAAAGGGUCAUUCUGUUCGACUGUUAAAACAAC
RNAcentral lists this ribosomal RNA (517 nucleotides) under Nemertea sp. RCMBAR615. RNAcentral's name for it is "partial 16S ribosomal RNA". It matches the Rfam family "Bacterial large subunit ribosomal RNA", at positions 1824 to 2597 of the family's 2925-position model. The record is from RNAcentral. Lineage: Eukaryota; Metazoa; Nemertea.